RNAcentral lists this unclassified non-coding RNA (338 nucleotides) under soil metagenome. RNAcentral's name for it is "partial contains 5.8S ribosomal RNA, internal transcribed spacer 2, and large subunit ribosomal RNA". The stretch from base 1 to 120 matches the Rfam family "5.8S ribosomal RNA", at positions 35 to 154 of the family's 154-position model. The record is from RNAcentral.
GAUGAAGAACGCAGUGAAAUACGAUAAGUAAUGUGAAUUGCAGAAUUCAGUGAAUCAUCGAAUCUUUGAACGCACAUUGCGCCCGGUAGUAUUCUGCCGGGCAUGCCUGUUCGAGCGUCAUUUCAACCAUCAAGCCCCAGCGCUUGUGUUGGGGGCCUGCGGCUGCCGCAGCCCCCUAAAAGCAGUGGCGGGCUCGCUAUCACACCGAGUGCAGUAGUUCAUCUUCUCUCCGGUCUUGUGAGGCGGGUUCCGGCCGUGAAACACCCCACUACAUUCAAGGUUGACCUCGGAUCAGGUAGGAAUACCCGCUGAACUUAAGCAUAUCAAUAAGCGGAGGA